Molecule: transfer RNA, 75 nt
Filed under: Schistosoma mansoni
Lineage: Eukaryota; Metazoa; Platyhelminthes; Trematoda; Strigeidida; Schistosomatidae
Source: RNAcentral
GGCCCAGUGGUCUAGAGGUUAAGAGUUCGUACAUGUAAACCGAAGGUCCUGGUUUCGAGUCCUACGUGCGGGGUC